RNAcentral lists this ribosomal RNA (377 nucleotides) under uncultured bacterium. RNAcentral describes it as "bacterial SSU rRNA". It matches the Rfam family "Bacterial small subunit ribosomal RNA", at positions 523 to 898 of the family's 1533-position model. The record is from RNAcentral.
AUACGUAGGGGGCGAGCGUUGUCCGGAAUCAUUGGGCGUAAAGCGCGUGUAGGCGGCUUGGUAAGUCUGGUGUGAAACCUUGGGGCUUAACCCUGAGCGUGCACUGGAUACUGCUUGGCUUGAGUCCGGGAGGGGAGAGCGGAAUUCCUAGUGUAGCGGUGAAAUGCGCAGAUAUUAGGAAGAACACCGGUGGCGAAGGCGGCUCUCUGGAACGGUACUGACGCUGAGACGCGAAAGCGUGGGGAGCGAACAGGAUUAGAUACCCUGGUAGUCCACGCCGUAAACGAUGGGCACUAGAUGUGGGCGGUGUCGACUCCGUCCGUGUCGAAGCUAACGCAUUAAGUGCCCCGCCUGGGGAGUACGGCCGCAAGGCUAAA